GAUGAAGAACGCAGCGAAAUGCGAUAAGUAAUGUGAAUUGCAGAAUUCAGUGAAUCAUCGAAUCUUUGAACGCACAUUGCGCCCCUUGGUAUUCCGGGGGGCAUGCCUGUUCGAGCGUCAUUAUAACCCCUCAAGCUCAGCUUGGUGUUGGGGCCUGCCGACUGGCAGCCCUUAAAAUCAGUGGCGGCGCCAUCUGGCUCUAAGCGUAGUAAUUUCUCUCGCUAUAGAGUCCCGGUGGAUGCUUGCCAGCAACCCCCAACUUUCUAUGGUUGACCUCGGAUCAGGUAGGGAUACCCGCUGAACUUAUGCAUAUCAAUAAGCGGAGGA
Molecule: unclassified non-coding RNA, 327 nt
Filed under: soil metagenome
Description: partial contains 5.8S ribosomal RNA, internal transcribed spacer 2, and large subunit ribosomal RNA
Rfam family: 5.8S ribosomal RNA (bases 1-120)
Source: RNAcentral